AACGCACAUGGCGCCUUCUGGUAUUCCGGGAGGCAUGCCUGUUCGAGCGUCGUCUCCCCCUGCCAGCCCCGCUGGGUGUUGCGGGCGGCCCCCCGGGGUCCCCGCCAAAAGGAGCGGCGGCACAGACCGGCCUGGAGCGCAUUGACAUACUUUCGCCCCGGGGUCGGGAUGGGCCGGCCGAGCAAGCCACACGCACCUCGGUGCGUCAUCGGACGAUGUGACCUCGGAUCAGGUAGGGAUACCCGCUGAACUUAA
RNAcentral lists this unclassified non-coding RNA (255 nucleotides) under uncultured fungus. RNAcentral describes it as "partial contains 5.8S ribosomal RNA, internal transcribed spacer 2, and large subunit ribosomal RNA". Lineage: Eukaryota; Fungi. The record is from RNAcentral.